UUUUUGGAUUUAUACAUAAUUUAUUUGAAUAUAGUAUGCCGGCUGCCCAAAUAUUGUUUACAUAUUCAUUUUCCCAUUAAUUUGAACUUCAUUUUCAUCAUCUAUUUUCCCACCAUCACUGUACAUCUGUCAGGAUGGCUGUUAUCCAAAAAAAAAAAAAAACACCAAAAGACAGCAAGUGUUGGUGAGGAUAUGGAGAAACUGGAACCCUGGCACACUGCUGGCAGAUAUGCAAAAUGGCACAACUGCUACGGAAAACAGUAUGGAAGCACCUUGAAAAUUAAACAUAGAACUACCAUAUAAUCCAACACUCCUAUUUCUGGGCAUUUAUCCAAAAGAAUUGAAAUUGAAAUCUUAAAGAAAUAUCUGCCAUUCCCAUAGUCAUUGCAGCACUUUCCACAGUAGCCAAGAUAUGGAAACAACCUGGAUGUCCACUGACAGAAGAGUGAAUAGGAAAAUAUGGUACAUACGUAUGUACAGCGCAAUGCUAUUCAGUCUUAAGAAGGAAAUUCUUCCACUCGACACUGUGGAUGAACCCGCAGGACACAGUAUGUUAAGUAAAAAAAAAGCCAGACACACAGGAGUUCAUCAAGUGGGUUGUUUUGUCUUUUUAGGGCCGAACCCACAGCAUAUGGAGGUUGCCAGGCAAGGGGUCAAAUCGGAGCUGUGGCUGCUGGCCUACACCACAGCCACAGAAAUGCAGGAUCCAAACCAUGUCUGCGACCUACACCACAGUUCACGGCAACACCGGAUCCUUAAUGCAUUGAGCGAGGCUGGGGAUUGAACUUGCGUCCUCAUGAAUGCUAGUCAUAUUCGUUUCCAUUGACAGGAACUCCUUAAUCAAGUUUUAAAUUGCAAUCAUCUUCUCAGUUAUUGCUUUUUACCAGUUCCCUGGGUGUCUGGUAACCUCUCUGGGCCCUAACCUGUGUUGGAUUCUCUCUCCUACCUGAGCAUGGGACGAGGAGUUCAGCCCAACUAAUUAGACUGUCCCCUGCAUGCCCUGGUCUUAUGCCACAUCCCGGUGAAUGGUGGGGAACAUCAGCUCUGUGUCACAGGUGGUGGUGGUGGGGGGGGGUUGGACGACUGGUCAGCCCACGGACCACCCUCUGCCUCCCAGCCCGUUUCCUCAUCACAGCCUUCCUGUAACAAAGGCUCCCGGAACCCUCAGCAAGGGCCAGACUGAAGGAAGAGCUCAGGGAGGGUCUUGGCUUUCACACCUGCAAUCCUCGAGGCACCGUCUCUCUCUCCAAGGUCAACAGAAAUGGCUUAAAUGUCACCGAAGCCAAGGUGUUGGUUCUUGAGGAUCACCAACUGCUUCUCGUCAUUGAUCAGGAGAUGACCUGAGAGGUGAACUGACUGCUUUGACUAGUCGAUUCUAUGAGUUUCUUAGGUUAGCACAAAAUGUGCCCUUGAAGGUGCCUGGUAGGGUGUUUCACAGACCCAUUCUCCAGAUGAAGAAACUGAGGCACAGAGAAGUCAAAAUGGUCAGCCAAGAAUGAGAACCUGAUGACAGCUCUUAGGUAUUGAGCAUUUACCCUGUGCCAGGCCCAGAGUGAAGGUUUAUGUUUUCCUUCCCAGUCCUGGAAGCAAAGUGGGGGGGGGGGGCAGGGUGUGCCAGGAAGUCUGGGGGAGAUGGGAGGUAUGGUUGAGUCCUGGCCCCCCCUGACCACACCACCAGGAUGCCAACCUGGUUCUGCCAGUGAUGGGCUGUGAAGGUUUCUAACUCUGGGCCUUCGUUUUCUCAUUUGUAUAAAGUGGAUAAUAAUAGCAUAGAAAUCAGAGGGGUUUUGUGAGGAUUAAGACAUGGCUUAAGACAUGCCAAACACUUGGAAUGGAGCCUGUGGCAUGGCCAGCAAUCCAACUACUUUGCAUCCAUGUCAUACAGAACGGGAAACAGAGUCAGAGAGGUAAAGUGACUUGUCUUUGCUGGAAUUCAAUCCAAGGCCUGUUUUACGCCAAAGCCCAGUCUUUUGUGACUGCGUGGGCACACACAGGGCCAGGGAAGUGGCGUCAGAAUGAGGGAGAAAUGGAGCGACUUGGUUUUACUGAUUCUGCCAUUGGGCUGAGACCCUGACCCUUCUGGGCUGGUUCCUCCAGGUUCCUUGCCUUGUCCUCGUUUGCUGCACUCCUUCCUGUUGGCCUUUAGGGGGCACCAUUGAGCCGCAUUCACCAAGUCCAGGCCAAGGGUCCUCCGAAGGGUUUGAAAUUACACACGAGGAAGGGAAAAGGAAAACUUGAAGGCUGAAAUCCCAACUGCUAAGACUUUUGUCUUGAUAACAAAUAAGUUCCUAAAAAACCAAAAUUGCUCCCCUGUAGGAAGGAGAGGAUUUUUCAGAAGUCAAGUUUAUUGCAAUGUGUGUUAUUUCUUUGCUCUAAGUACUUUAAAAAGAACACAUUAAAGCUACUUUAAAAUACACACACACACAGCCUUAACUUUGUCAGGGACCGUGUCUUAGCCCAGCUCACCACUGAGAGAACAAGAUAAACGUUUGCCCCUGGUGGAGGGUAACAGGGAUCUAACACAUUAGAGAGAAUGGGAGUCCUGGAAAAUAAUUGGCACUGAUUUUCCCUUGGCUUAUUUGCCAAAUCUGAUGUGCCAAACUGGGGGGCUUCCCUGGAAAGCUCAAGUGUCUGGGUGCUUGGAGCCCUGGCCUUGUCCACCUGGGGCUAGGCCAGGUCCACUCUCCCUCUCCCUGACCUGACCUGGAUGCCGGCCUCUGGGGUCAGCCUCUCGAGGACUGUCAAAGGCCCCACGACCACUCUUUUAUUCCAUAAAAUGUGCACUCUGAUGAUGCCUCCUUCUCCCUCCGCCCAGGCAUCAGCAAGUGUAGAAGAGGGCUAAAGAAAAUGCUUCAAACCACGGGGCAAGCAUCUUCUGACCAUCUCUGGAUGGAGGCACCUUCAGGUGCAUUCCCCAUUUCAUCUCUGCCAACGAUCUCUUGUGAUCAUCCCUGUGUCACAGGGUACAGAGGGGGUUAGGUGACUGGAUGCCACUCAGUGGCCAAAGGGGUUUCCUGGAGGUUCUAGCUCCUUUGAUUUAAGUCCAGGGGUCUUUCAAAGACCAGAUCUGAACUGAGGAUGGACUCCCUUCAUUGGCUGGCUCUCUCUCCUCCCUUUUCGCAGGACCUCCCAGGACUGUGCUGAUAAGAUCUUUUGGCUCCGUCUCCCUCUGCCCCGCCUCCAACUCAUGCCUCCUCUCAUCCAACAAAGUUCCCCUUUAUCCGAAGGCCCUCACUUCCAGCAGAACCAUCAGGGCCAAUCUGGUGGAGUCUGGGGACAUUCAGAAGGUGGGUUUCCCUGGACCCCCAUUCUGGUCCCAGCCUUCUUGGCUUCAUGUUCACGUCCAUCUCCUGCAGCUCUGGCCAGACUUCUUUCGCUCUACAAAAAGCAAACGCUUCCAUAUGGGAUGGAGAACGUAUCCCCAAUGUCUUUCUUUGGGUGAUUCUAGUUUACAGUUCCUUUGCUGAAAAAAAUUGUGGGUUGGGAAGCGGAAGGAGAAGGGUCAGGGACCAAGACACAGAAGGCACAAGGCGCUGUCCCUCUGGGGGGAGCCUGGUCCUGAGCAGUUAUGCGGGGGGCGGGGGGGGGUUGGGGUUCGGAGACCACCUCAGUGAAUUGAGCCAUGUUCAGAUCCAGGCUGUCUACAUCCUUUAGAGUGACCCUGCUCUCCACACCGGCCCGCAUCAGCAGGGCUCCACCAAGAAAGGUGGAGCCGGGAGCUGAAUAGGAAUGAAUGAAACCGCCCCCACCCCCACCCCAGCCCUUGAUGGCCUCAGUGAGGUCUGGCAGCCCCUUCUGUUUUCUGCCCUGCGGUGUCGGUGACCAUUAAACACUCCUCAGGGACACAGAGAAUCAGACUUGCCCUCAGAAAACACGGAAUCCUGUUCUUGGAAGGGGCAGUCGCAGAAAUGGAGCCCUCUUUAAAAAGGACUUUAGAGGGCAAAAAAAGUCUAGCCCUUUACUUUCUAAAAAGCAAGUCAAAUUCAUCUGCUUUUUUGAGGGAGUUCCCGUCGUGGCGCAGUGGUUAACGAAUCCGACUAGGAACCAUGAGGUUGAGGGUUCGAUCCCUGGCCUUGCUCAGUGGGUUAAGGAUCCGGCGUUGCCGUGAGCUGUGGUGUAGGUUGCAAAUGUGGCUCGGAUCCUGCUUUGCUGUGGCUCUGGCGUAGGCCGGUGGCUGCAGCUCUGAUUCAACCCCUAGCCUGGGAACUUCCAUAUGCCGCAGGAGCGGCCCAAGAAAUAGCUAAAAAGACCAAAAAAAAAAAAAAAAAAAAAAUCAUCUGCUUUUUUGAAACAAACAGCGGUACAGUUUAUAGUUGACAGGCUUCGGCUGCAGUUUUUCCUCUUUCAUUUGUUUAUGAAAUGUUUGUGCUCCUCACCUUUAGGAGGAAAUUUCACGCCUCCUUCUGAAUCUGUCAUUGCUUGGAACGUCCAGCUAUACCUUAUCCUCAAUUCCGGAGCGCUGGUCAAAUGCAACCCUUACAACUUCAUCCUGGUGAACCUUCAGGCGGCGAAUGCCUGUGGCUCCAUCGGUGACCCCAAUCCAGAAAGCAGGCCCUCUGAAAGCCACCGAGCUGUGGUCAUGCGGGGGCCAUCAGGGGAGCAUCCAGGGUCACUGGGCAACCCCAAACCCAGAGAGCCAGGCCAGGAGGGCUGCUGUUUUUUGAUCCUCAGGCAGGAGGCAGCUGGAAUCUUCCUGAUGACAAACAGCUCGUGGCCAGUGACUGGGAGUGGGGAAGGGGUGUUACAGUGUCAAGUGGCUCUCUGUCCUCAUCCUGGUCCCUCUCUUCUUUUAGGGUUCAGCCUGGGGAGGGGGUUCAUGCUACAGAGAGUUCUCUCCUCACAGCCUGUGUCUACUAGUGGCCCCUGAGCUCAUGGGUGUGCAGGCCCAGGGGACACGAAAGGGGGGCACAGCCUUGGAUUUUUAUGGGGCAGCCGUCUGUCAUCCUGCUCUCUCGGUCCCCAUUUUUCUUUCCUGGUUAAUCUCCUUCCCCCGUAGGUGACCACAUUCCCCACCCCUGGCCCUCCCAACAUUUCAGGAAGGAUGGAAGAGGGCAGGCCCUCUUCCUGGGGGGCAUUCUUUGCAGGACACUAGAGAAAACUGUUACUCAAAAUAGCAGGAAGAUGGUGAAUUUCUUUUGAUCUCUGCCAUGAGCCUGGCUGACGUGUAAGACCUGGCCAGGCUCACAGCCUCCACGGGGCCCCAGGGCCUCUCCAGACCCAGAAGGUCUCACUGUGGCUCAGGGGCAGCACCAGCAGCACCAGUUGGGUUGGGGAGGGGGCCUAGCAAAUGUGAAUUUCUUGGGUUGCAUCUGCUGGAUUCAAGCCUUGGAACCAACCCCACCCGCCUCACAACAAUCCACAGCAUCUAAUUGCUCUUUCCUUUUCAUUUUAUUUAGUAACUGGGUUCAGCCCAGGAAACUCUGGCUUCCAAUCUUUGAGUGUUUUGACUCAAGGACCGUAAACUGUCUGAUUUCUUGGACAAACACAAUCUUGAGGAAUUUUUCUCUUUACACAAUGGCCUGGCCGUGCGAAUGUCAUGGCUUCCCCAUUCAAGACCUGGUAGAUUUUUUUUUUCUCUUUCCUACAGACGUCAGUCUACUUAAAAUAAAUAUUCCCAUUGGUUUGGGGGCCUUUUCCUUUGGAUUAUUCACCUUUAUUUCUGGGAUUAGAAAGCAGCUGGCAGGCAGAGAUAGGUGGGCAGGAGAAACAGACACCCAAGAAACCCAAGUGGCCUUGG
RNAcentral lists this long non-coding RNA (5737 nucleotides) under Sus scrofa (pig). RNAcentral describes it as "lncRNA (ENSSSCG00000060333.1)". Lineage: Eukaryota; Metazoa; Chordata; Mammalia; Artiodactyla; Suidae. The record is from RNAcentral.